This 253-nucleotide ribosomal RNA is filed under the name uncultured bacterium. Its description in RNAcentral is "partial 16S ribosomal RNA". It matches the Rfam family "Bacterial small subunit ribosomal RNA", at positions 524 to 776 of the family's 1533-position model. The record is from RNAcentral.
UACAGAGGGUGCAAGCGUUAAUCGGAAUUACUGGGCGUAAAGCGUGCGUAGACGGUUACAUAAGUCGGGUGUGAAAGCCCCGGGCUCAACCUGGGAAUUGCAUUCGAGACUGCGUAGCUAGGGUGCGGAAGAGGGAAGCGGAAUUUCCGGCGUAGCGGUGAAAUGCGUAGAUAUCGGAAGGAACACCAGUGGCGAAAGCGGCUUCCUGGUCCAGCACCGACGUUCAGGCACGAAAGCGUGGGGAGCAAACAGG